Non-coding RNA from Peromyscus maniculatus bairdii (prairie deer mouse), 1459 nucleotides. The record is from RefSeq and is a predicted model, not a curated record. Lineage: Eukaryota; Metazoa; Chordata; Mammalia; Rodentia; Cricetidae.
GGGAGGGAGUAGAGGAAGGAAAAAAAUGAUCCCUGUACUGACACAGGGAAAGAGAAUGUAGGAGAGUGACGUCCAGGCCCCGCCUCCCCCUCCGGCCACGUGCAAGACUUGAAAGGAAAGAGGGAGACGGCAAGCCUGCUGGGUAAUGUAGUUCGCCUUUCUUUCCUGGGAUGGCGGGCCCUAGAGAGCUGGGAACCAAGGGGACGCCGGGGAUGCCGCCUGAACUGCCUGGACGGACCAGUGUUGCCCUUCAGCAUCCUCCCUUCAACGACCUCUUGCGCUAGCGGGGCCCUCUGCUGUCGGGGACAGAACUGAGGGUGAAGGCAUCGUCUCUCUUGCAGGGAAACACUUGGUUUUAGAAUCAGGCAGGCUGUAAGGAUGAGGACUUCCGCGCUUCAAGUGUAAAGUCUGCCCUAAUGAAUGAUAAGAGAAAGCGUAGUGUAUGCACUGGGAGAGAUGUUGUGGGGGAGACAAGUGGCAUUAUUAAUGCGGCAUUAAGUGCCACCAUAGGUUAUUGAGAUUCACAUGUAAUAAUUAACGUUUGUGCAUCGCUGUGGCAGGGACGGAAUGUUGUAAUUAGAUAUGCACUUUGCGACCAAUUAAUUUUCCAUUGGCCAUGCUAAAAGCUGAGGCAUUGUAGCUGGAAGAAUUCGAUGGCAGUGGAUAAUGCGGUCAUCACUAGACCAGAUCUCCACGGUCUUGGUUAAAACUGAGAUUAGCGCGGAGGCCUCCAGGAGGAAUAUAAGAUGCUGAAUGUCUCACCGAGUGGUGGCGUCCGUCGGGUGCAUAUUGGAGGUAUUGGAACGGACCUGCUGCAGAAAUCCUUUGAGUGAUUAAUUUGUAAAACAUCCAGUGAACAUAUCCAGGCAUGCAGGGACCAGGAAGCCCCUCAGUCUGUGUCCUCUAGGAGCUCAGUCUUGUGGGAGGGCCACAGUCUGUGAAAGAAUAGGGGAAUAAGUGAGCUCUUAACACAGGGACUAGCCCAAAGCACCAUGGGACCUCCGGAGGAGCGGCCAACCAGGAUGCGGUAGGAAGGCAUCCUGAAGGAAGGUACUUGAAUGAAGAGUUAACUAAGGUUUUUAACAAGGGGCAGGGCGUCUGUUACAGCUAUGGAAGGUUCUAGAUUCAAGAGAAGAGCUAAUUCUGCAGCUCCUAGCUAUUCGGCUGGACAGGGGACAGGUUGCUGGGUGGGCAAGGGUAGGGCAGAAAGCAAAGAAUGGCUAGAGGGUUAGUCUAGAGGGCAGAAGGAGCCCGGAGCUGCUUGCUGGAAGAGGCGGGGCUUGGAGUGGUGGAUGGGAUUUUGUUUUGUAGUAAGCUUUGAAUACUGAAUGAACCAGACCAUGGGCAGAAAGCAAAACAGAAUACAUGUUCACAACCUGUGAAGAGUUCCUUUGACUUUUAAACCAGAACCAAGGUGCUCAGUGGGUCUCUGUCUCUUUCUCUGUGUGAGGGAGAGAGA